This 497-nucleotide ribosomal RNA is filed under the name uncultured bacterium. RNAcentral describes it as "partial 16S ribosomal RNA". It matches the Rfam family "Bacterial small subunit ribosomal RNA", at positions 28 to 507 of the family's 1533-position model. The record is from RNAcentral.
GAUGAACGCUGGCGGCGUGCCUAAUACAUGCAAGUCGAGCGAACAGAUGAGGAGCUUGCUCCUCUGACGUUAGCGGCGGACGGGUGAGUAACACGUGGAUAACCUACCUAUAAGACUGGGAUAACUGCGGGAAACCGGAGCUAAUACCGGAUAAUAUAUUGAACCGCAUGGUUCAAUAGUGAAAGACGGUUUUGCUGUCACUUAUAGAUGGAUCCGCGCCGCAUUAGCUAGUUGGUAAGGUAACGGCUUACCAAGGCAACGAUGCGUAGCCGACCUGAGAGGGUGAUCGGCCACACUGGAACUGAGACACGGUCCAGACUCCUACGGGAGGCAGCAGUAGGGAAUCUUCCGCAAUGGGCGAAAGCCUGACGGAGCAACGCCGCGUGAGUGAUGAAGGUCUUCGGAUCGUAAAACUCUGUUAUUAGGGAAGAACAAAUGUGUAAGUAACUAUGCACGUCUUGACGGUACCUAAUCAGAAAGCCACGGCUAACUACGUG